CCUGCCUUGUACAGGGGGAUAACAGUUGGAAACGGCUGCUAAUACCGCAUAAGCGCACAGCAUCGCAUGAUGCAGUGUGAAAAACUCCGGUGGUAUAAGAUGGACCCGCGUUGGAUUAGCUAGUUGGUGAGGUAACGGCCCACCAAGGCGACGAUCCAUAGCCGACCUGAGAGGGUGACCGGCCACAUUGGGACUGAGACACGGCCCAAACUCCUACGGGAGGCAGCAGUGGGGAAUAUUGCACAAUGGGCGAAAGCCUGAUGCAGCGACGCCGCGUGAGCGAAGAAGUAUUUCGGUAUGUAAAGCUCUAUCAGCAGGGAAGAUAAUGACGGUACCUGACUAAGAAGCACCGGCUAAAUACGUGCCAGCAGCCGCGGUAAUACGUAUGGUGCAAGCGUUAUCCGGAUUUACUGGGUGUAAAGGGAGCGCAGGCGGUGCGGCAAGUCUGAUGUGAAAGCCCGGGGCUCAACCCCGGUACUGCAUUGGAAACUGUCGUACUAGAGUGUCGGAGGGGUAAGCGGAAUUCCUAGUGUAGCGGUGAAAUGCGUAGAUAUUAGGAGGAACACCAGUGGCGAAGGCGGCUUACUGGACGAUAACUGACGCUGAGGCUCGAAAGCGUGGGGAGCGAACAGGAUUAGAUACCCUGGUAGUCCACGCCGUAAACGAUCAAUAAUGGGUGUUGGGAAGCAUUGCUUCUCGGUGCCGUCG
RNAcentral lists this ribosomal RNA (708 nucleotides) under uncultured bacterium. RNAcentral describes it as "bacterial SSU rRNA". It matches the Rfam family "Bacterial small subunit ribosomal RNA", at positions 125 to 851 of the family's 1533-position model. The record is from RNAcentral.